CAGCCAGUCCCUGCCUUUCCACUCCCUCAAUCCCCUUGGAACUUCUGGAUUCUCAGCUCUUGGCUUCCGCAAACCAAAAACUGAUCCACUUGGCCUCAUGGGGCUGGGCUCGCUCUCCCCGUCAUCUAAUUUCCUUCCCUGACAGCAUUUGGAGUUUCCUUGCUGGGCAACUGUGAAGGUCUGAAAUCAUCUAGUGAAUGGAUUUGGUGCAGAGUAAGUGCAUGACAGUUGUUGAAGAUGACUACUGAUCAUUUGGGAUCCUUCACAUCUCCUCCACCAGGAAAGAAAGCUGGACUGCGCAGGUCGGGAAGAUUCCGGGGAGAUGCACAGCCUUUGCGUUCUGGGCUCAUCUGGCCUUCAACGUGUGAUUUUGAGAGUUGGAAGCGAGAAGAUUAUAACUCAGAAUGGCACGCGGGUGUGAAGCCGG
Homo sapiens (human) is the source of this 427-nucleotide long non-coding RNA. RefSeq lists it as uncharacterized. NCBI's taxonomy places the organism in Eukaryota, Metazoa, Chordata, Mammalia, Primates, Hominidae. The transcript has 3 exons. The record is from RefSeq and is a predicted model, not a curated record.